AUUGAACGCUGGCGGCAUGCCUUACACAUGCAAGUCGAACGGCAGCACGGGUGCUUGCCUCUGGUGGCGAGUGGCGAACGGGUGAGUAAUACAUCGGAACAUGUCCCGUAGUGGGGGAUAGCCCGGCCAAAGCCGGAUUAAUACCGCAUACGAACUACGGAUGAAAGCGGGGGACCUUCGGGCCUCGCGCUUUAGGGUUGGUCGAUGGCUGAUUAGCUAGUUGGUGGGGUAAAGGCCUACCAAGGCGACGAUCAGUAGCUGGUCUGAGAGGACGACCAGCCACACUGGGACUGAGACACGGCCCAGACUCCUACGGGAGGCAGCAGUGGGGAAUUUUGGGCAAUGGGCGAAAGCCUGAUCGAGCAAUGCCGCGUGAGUGAAGAAGGCCUUCGGGUUGUAAAGCACUUUUGUCCGGAAAGAAAUCCUUGGCCAUAAUACAGUCGGGGGAUGACGGUACCGGAAGAAUAAGCACCGGCUAACUACGUG
This 486-nucleotide ribosomal RNA is filed under the name uncultured bacterium. RNAcentral's name for it is "partial 16S ribosomal RNA". It matches the Rfam family "Bacterial small subunit ribosomal RNA", at positions 30 to 507 of the family's 1533-position model. The record is from RNAcentral.